CCUAACUACGUGCCAGCAGCCGCGGUAAUACGUAGGGUGCGAGCGUUAAUCGGAAUUACUGGGCGUAAAGCGUGCGCAGGCGGUUUUGUAAGACAGGUGUGAAAUCCCCGGGCUUAACCUGGGAACUGCGCUUGUGACUGCAAGGCUAGAGUACGGCAGAGGGGGGUGGAAUUCCACGUGUAGCAGUGAAAUGCGUAGAUAUGUGGAGGAACACCGAUGGCGAAGGCAGCCCCCUGGGCCGAUACUGACGCUCAUGCACGAAAGCGUGGGGAGCAAACAGGAUUAGAUACCCUGGUAGUCCACGCCCUAAACGAUGUCGACUAGUUGUUCGGAGCGGUAACGCACUGAGUAACGUAGCUAACGCGUGAAGUCGACCGCCUGGGGAGUACGGUCGCAAGAUUAAAACUCAAAGGAAUUGACGGGGACCCGCACAAGCGGUGGAUGAUGUGGAUUAAUUCGAUGCAACGCGAAAAACCUUACCUACCCUUGACAUGUCUGGAAUCCUUGAGAGAUCAGGGAGUGCCUUCGGGAGCCAGAACACAGGUGCUGCAUGGCUGUCGUCAGCUCGUGUCGUGAGAUGUUGGGUUAAGUCCCGCAACGAGCGCAACCCUUGUCGCUAAUUGCCAUCAUUUGGUUGGGCACUUUAGCGAGACUGCCGGUGACAAACCGGAGGAAGGUGGGGAUGACGUCAAGUCCUCAUGGCCCUUAUGGGUAGGGCUUCACACGUCAUACAAUGGUCGGUACAGAGGGUUGCCAAGCCGCGAGGUGGAGCUAAUCUCAAAAAGCCGAUCGUAGUCCGGAUCGUAGUCUGCAACUCGACUACGUGAAGUCGGAAUCGCUAGUAAUCGUGGAUCAGCAUGCCACGGUGAAUACGUUCCCGGGUCUCGUACACACCGCCCGUCACACCAUGGGAGUGGGUUUCACCAGAAGUAGGUAGCUUAACCUUCGGGAGGGCGCUUACCACGGUGAGAUUCAUGACUGGGGUGAAGUCGUAACAAGGUAACCGAAUCUCUGAAGUCCGCGGAUUA
Molecule: ribosomal RNA, 1028 nt
Filed under: uncultured bacterium
Lineage: Bacteria
Description: bacterial SSU rRNA
Rfam family: Bacterial small subunit ribosomal RNA
Source: RNAcentral